Non-coding RNA from Heterocephalus glaber (naked mole-rat), 2184 nucleotides. NCBI's taxonomy places the organism in Eukaryota, Metazoa, Chordata, Mammalia, Rodentia, Bathyergidae. The record is from RefSeq and is a predicted model, not a curated record.
ACAGUCCUGCCUGCUCAUGAGUAAAGCUUUGUUUUUUUUUACCCAACUUCUAUGUCUCUGUGCAUUUCUUUCUGUGAUUCCAGAACAUUUGUUUCCCUGAUCGGGAAUCAGGAAAGAAUUGGCCCUUUUGGGCAUUUACCUGAAUUCAACUGGAGGGAGUGGCUCUUUGCCUCCUCCAAGGGAAUGGCAUACCCCUGGGACUAAUUUCCUAGGCUCCCCAACAGGACAUAGAGACCUGCUCUCCAGUGGCAGAUUGCCCAAACCCAAGACAGAAGACAACAGAAGGAGGGCUGCUGCUGUUGUUGUCUCCUCUGUCUCUUUUCUUUGCUUGAUGGGAGCAGCUUCUGGGAAGAUGGGGUUCGUCAUUCUGGAUAUACAAUAACCACAAAGGAUGGGGUGAUCCUAGCCCAGGACCUUCCUUUUGGCUGCUCUGAACUAUGGGCUGAGCUCUGGACACUCAUACAGGCAUUCUGAUGGACAAAGGGUAAAAAGGUAAAUAUAUACAGACUCUCACUAUGCAUUUGCUCCAUUUGCUCCAUGGCAUGAUACAUCAAGGGUGAGGUCUUCUCACAACAGAAGGGAAGCAAAUAAAAAAAAUUGAAAUAAAAUUGUACAGUUGCUAAAGGCCAUGUUGGAACCUAACAAAGUCACAGUAAUACAUUGUUCAGGACAUCAGAAAAACAAAAACUUCAUUACACAUGGUAACCAUAAGGCUGACACUGAAACAAAGACAACUACAAAAAAAAAAGAAGAAAGACAACUACUCAAAGCACUGCUCUCACCAAUCCAGAGGCUGGUGAGUCAAUGCAUGUCUGAAGAAUAGGAGUACUGGGAAAGGCAGCAUGGACUUUUUUGCUAUGCCAGAUCGCUACUGCUCUGAGUUUCUUUGUUUUCAAAUUGUGAAUGUUUAAGCAUAGUGAUAAAAAAGUUUGAUGAAAAAUAUGUAACUUUUAAAAUGGUAAAAUGAAAACCACAGUGCUAUCCUUUUACAAUGCUCUUGGAUGCCUGCCCAAAGGAACAUUACGGGGGCCUGGGGUAACUUCUGACUGUGGGAACUAUUCUAAUGAGAAAUUGUAUUGCAAAGAGAAAACAAGCUUAGAUCAACGGAUCCUUUGUUGGAUGAACCAUUGGUAAUUGUAACAAUUGUAAACAAGGUCAAUGUAAUCCUAUAUCUAUGUAUAUGCCACCCCAUGGGAUCCCAUUUGGCUACAAGGAGUAAUAUAUUUCUUUAGAACCAGAAAGUUUAAAAAAAGAUCUUUAGGAAAUUUGAGUUCCACUUCAGGCUUUAGAAACUCAGUUAGAUUCUUUAGCAAAUGUUGUGCUACAGAAUAGGCAUGCUUUCAAUUUGCUAAUGGCCCAGAAAGGAGAGACUUGCUUAUUCCUUGGUAAAAAAAUAUUGUUUUUAUGCUAAUGAAUCUGGUAUAGUACAAGGAUCACUUGACAAACUGAAAAAUUGGAUCAAGGCUCUUGAUGAAAAAUUUGAUAUGAGAGCCAUCUUAUGGGAUUAAUUUUACUUGGAUGGGAUACAAAGCUUGGAUAGGACCACUUUGGAGUCCCCUUCUUGUUAUAAUAUUAGUAUUGAUGCUUGGUCCUUGUGUUAUUCAAUGGAUCUCAAGAUUUAUACAGCAGUGUAUUGCUGCUGCUCAACACUAUCAAAUGCUAGUAUUAAGAACUACAGAUGAGUUAGAUAUAACAUACUACGGAUAGAUUUAUCCUGAAGUAGACAAAGGGAGGAAUAAUAGGGAAAAGUUUUAAAGUAAAUUUAGUACAUUAGCUGUUAAAGUAGUUAUGGAGGCAAAACAGGUAGUGUAUCCCUUUAAAAGCUUGCCUUAGCCCGUUACUUCUGCUGUGUAAAGUGAAGGUUAUAUAGCUCCUUUAAUCUGUAGCUCCACCGUAGAUAAAUCCUAGCUCUGAAAAACAAAGUGGGAAUCCUUGAACAAACUUGUGAUGUAUAUGCCUUAACUGUCAUGUGUUUAGGACUAUAAUCAGUGACAGAAACCACCUGUGUUUAACCAUUAAGCAGGAAUUGGAACUUUAUUUACUUAAGAAAGACCACUAGGGAUGAGAUAAUGACUGACAAAAGUAUAAACGGUGAUGGACAAGGAACACAGGGCAUGGACUCUGACCAGACCAGUUUCUGGCAGUCCUGCCUGCUCAUGAGUAAAGCUUUGUUUUUCUACCCAA